CAGUCGCCACGGUAAUACGUAGGGUGCAAGCGUUAAUCGGAAUUACUGGGCGUAAAGCGUGCGCAGGCGGUUUUGUAAGACAGAGGUGAAAUCCCCGGGCUCAACCUGGGAACUGCCUUUGUGACUGCAAGGCUAGAGUACGGCAGAGGGGGAUGGAAUUCCGCGUGUAGCAGUGAAAUGCGUAGAUAUGCGGAGGAACACCGAUGGCGAAGGCAAUCCCCUGGGCCUGUACUGACGCUCAUGCACGAAAGCGUGGGGAGCAAACAGGAUUAGAUACCCGGGUAGUCCCUGUCUCUUAUAC
This 301-nucleotide ribosomal RNA is filed under the name uncultured bacterium. RNAcentral describes it as "partial 16S ribosomal RNA". It matches the Rfam family "Bacterial small subunit ribosomal RNA", at positions 509 to 807 of the family's 1533-position model. The record is from RNAcentral.